CCCUGGACCAAAUCAGGUCAUCUCUUUCGUGGCUGAGACACUGGUCGCUCUCUCAUCGAGCACCAGCCGCUGUUGACGCUCAAACUACUCCCCCGCCGCGCCGCUCAGACCGUCUCAGCUGCCGCUGCUCGGAUCCUCCACACUCCGCCGCCGCUCGGACUGUCCCCACGCAGCCUGCACUCUCCGCCUUGUGCAUGGAAGCCGACGACAGUGGAGUCUCCAAGACAGCUAACAACAGUUGUUAAGAUCCAGGACAGUAGUGAAAUCUCGGCUGCAGUAGUAGACAGUUGAUAGAUGGAGUAUAGUUGGAAUGAUUCUAUGUACGGGUAUGCUUGUACAUGUACUAACUUUUCUGGAAUCAAGCUGAGUAGAGAAUAGCAGCACUACAAAUUAACAGUCCAUUUGAAUCCAUUUUUUUAUUUUUUAUUUUCAGCCUUGAUGAUGAGCCCCCGCUUAGCUUAUUAGCAAUGGUAGUACAUCAUGAUUCUCACUCUGAAGCUGUUAUUGACUAGGAGUUGACGACGAUAAAAUGUACGAGUUAGCUUAGCAAUGGGCAUAUGGCUGCAACCACGACUAUUGAUGGUCACAAUUGGAUGUAUCCACUUACAUUUGGAUUUAUAGAUGGUGAAACUGAUGACAAUUGGGUGUGGUUCAUGAGGCAACUUCACAGGGAAAUAGGAGAUCUUACUUCGCUUGCUGUUUGUACAGAUACAUGCAAAGGGUUAGAAAAUGAAGAAAAGGUUGUGUUUCCUCGGGCUGACCAUACGAAAUUCUUUAGACAUCUUAUGCAGAAUUUUAUUAAGAGGUGAAAUGGAGGAGUGAGUUUAACCCUUCCAUCAAGUGUGACUAUGUCACCAACAAUCUAGCUGAAGUAUCCAACAAUUGGAUUAAAGAUUGGAAGGAUCUUUCUGUUGUUGAGCCUUGCAGACAAGCGUAGGGAGAUGAUUAUGGUGUUGUGGGAAAAAAGGAGAAGAAUUGGAGACAACUUACUGGCAAGAUCUUACCUGCAGUUUUACAGCUAUUUUCCCCCAAGUUCAAGGUUCUGUUUUCCAUGUUGAAGAUGGUGUUUUUCAGUUGAAGAUAUUAUCCAUGAUGAUGGCGCUAUUUUUCCCCAAGUUGAAGGUGCUAUCCAAGUUGAAGGUGCUGUCCAUAAUGGAAGAGCUAUUUUCCCCAUGUUGAAGCUGAUGUUGUCCAUGUUCAAGCUGAUGUCCAAAUCCAGUCACGACCCAAGACUACAACUAAGAAGUUCCUAUCGAAGAAGUUCACACCAAGGAAGCUGAAGAGGAUGUGACAACGCUUAAAUGAACCUUGAUAGGAUGUCCAAAUUGAACUAUAUUUGGAUGUUAACUAAGCCAGUGUUAGAAGUAAGGAACAAUUGGAUCUAUACCAUUAAAAGAUCCAAACUUUAGAUAUAUACCAUGGACCCCACAUGUCAUUGACUCAUGUGGACCCACAUGUAAGUGAGAUAGUAAUGGUAUGGAUCCAAAGUGGUGAUCUUUUAAUGGUAUGAAUCCAAAUUUCCCAAGUAAACCUAGUUAUGUUGACCAAGUUGAACUAUAUUUUGGUGUUCGAUGUAGUCUGAAAACUUGUUAUGCUAUUCACAUGCGUGCAGCUCAUGUCCAGACGAUUACCCAUGCGUGCAAUUCACUUUUACCAAUUAUUUUGAGCA
Molecule: long non-coding RNA, 1669 nt
Organism: Zea mays
Lineage: Eukaryota; Viridiplantae; Streptophyta; Magnoliopsida; Poales; Poaceae
Exons: 2
Source: RefSeq, a predicted model, not a curated record